GCGUCGGUUGGGCAUUGGCAGGCCUCGCUGGCUGUAAACCAGUCGUCCAAAAGGACCCUGGCGGUUCGACUCCGUCCCGGCGCA
This 84-nucleotide transfer RNA is filed under the name Rhodopirellula sp. RNAcentral describes it as "tRNA-Tyr". Lineage: Bacteria; Pseudomonadati; Planctomycetota; Planctomycetia; Pirellulales; Pirellulaceae. The record is from RNAcentral.